ACCAAGUGGGGACCAAAGCCUGGGACCAGUGUUAAUUUAGAGGAGGCCAGAAUUGAGAGAAUUGAAGGAAAACAGUGGGGGAGCCUGGAAUCAAAUCCCAUGUGAAGCAUGCUCUCCUUCUAGACCCUUCUGUAGGAUCGUCCACAAAUAAGUAUGUGGAUUUUAAAGCUGUGGGACUGGGUGAGAUCAGCUAGAGAAAUCAGCAGAUGAAGAAAGAAGAAAAGCUGGUGGUCUAGGCCAGGAUCUACCCUGAGGCCUUCCAACUUUCAGAGGUAGGUGUGUAUGUGUAUACAUGCAUAGAUACGUAUACACACAUAUCCCAGAAACUAGAAAUAUGUACAUAGACCUAUAAAACUUUUUUGAUUUGCUCCUAUAUUUAU
This 380-nucleotide long non-coding RNA is filed under the name Aotus nancymaae (Ma's night monkey). RNAcentral describes it as "lncRNA (ENSANAG00000038908.1)". The record is from RNAcentral. Lineage: Eukaryota; Metazoa; Chordata; Mammalia; Primates; Aotidae.